This 253-nucleotide ribosomal RNA is filed under the name uncultured bacterium. RNAcentral describes it as "partial 16S ribosomal RNA". It matches the Rfam family "Bacterial small subunit ribosomal RNA", at positions 524 to 776 of the family's 1533-position model. The record is from RNAcentral.
UACGAAGGGGGCUAGCGUUGUUCGGAAUCACUGGGCGUAAAGCGUGCGCAGGCGGUUCGUUGUGUCUGAUGUGAAAGCCCCGGGCUCAACCUGGGAAUGGCAUUGGAAACUGGCGAGCUAGAGUGUGGCAGAGGGGGGUGGAAUUCCGCGUGUAGCAGUGAAAUGCGUAGAUAUCGGGAGGAACACCAGUGGCGAAGGCGACUCUCUGGCCUGUAACUGACACUGAGGCGCGAAAGCGUGGGUAGCGAACAGG